Molecule: ribosomal RNA, 1983 nt
Filed under: Drosophila melanogaster (fruit fly)
Lineage: Eukaryota; Metazoa; Arthropoda; Insecta; Diptera; Drosophilidae
Description: SSU rRNA
Rfam family: Eukaryotic small subunit ribosomal RNA
Source: RNAcentral
UCUGGUUGAUCCUGCCAGUAGUUAUAUGCUUGUCUCAAAGAUUAAGCCAUGCAUGUCUAAGUACACACGAAAUUAAAAAGUGAAACCGCAAAAGGCUCAUUAUAUCAGUUAUGGUUCCUUAGAUCGUUAACAGUUACUUGGAUAACUGUGGUAAUUCUAGAGCUAAUACAUGCAAUUAAAAACAUGAACCUUAUGGGACAUGUGCUUUAUUAGGCUAAAACCAAGCGAUCGCAAGAUCGUUAUAUUGGUUGAACUCUAGAUAACAUGCAGAUCGUAUGGUCUUGUACCGACGACAGAUCUUUCAAAUGUCUGCCCUAUCAACUUUUGAUGGUAGUAUCUAGGACUACCAUGGUUGCAACGGGUAACGGGGAAUCAGGGUUCGAUUCCGGAGAGGGAGCCUGAGAAACGGCUACCACAUCUAAGGAAGGCAGCAGGCGCGUAAAUUACCCACUCCCAGCUCGGGGAGGUAGUGACGAAAAAAUAACAAUUACAGGACUCAUAUCCGAGGCCCUGUAAUUGGAAAUGAGUACACUUUAAAUCCUUUAACAAGGACCAAUUGGAGGGCAAGUCUGGUGCCAGCAGCCGCGGGUAAUUCCAGCUCCAAAUAGCGUAUAUUAAAGUUGUUGCGGUUAAAACGUUCGUAGUUGAACUUUGUGCUUCAUACGGGUAGUACAACUUACAAAUUGUGGUUAGUACUAUACCUUUAUGUAUGUAAGCGUAUUACCGGUGGAGUUCUUAUAUGUGAUUAAAUACUUGUAUCUUUUCAUAUGUUCCUCCUAUUUAAAAAACCUGCAUUAGUGCUCUUUAACGAGUGUUAUUGUGGCCGGUACUAUUACUUUGAACAAAUUAGAGUGCUUAAAGCAGGCUUCAAAUGCCUGAAUAUUCUGUGCAUGGGAUAAUGAAAUAAGACCUCUGUUCUGCUUUCAUUGGUUUUCAGAUCAAGAGGUAAUGAUUAAUAGAAGCAGUUUGGGGCCAUUAGUAUUACGACGCGAGAGGUGAAAUUCUUGGACCGUCGUAAGACUAACUUAAGCGAAAGCAUUGCCAAAGAUGUUUUCAUUAAUCAAGAACGAAAGUUAGAGGUUCGAAGGCGAUCAGAUACCGCCCUAGUUCUAACCAUAAACGAUGCCAGCUUAGCAAUUGGGUGUUAGCUACUUUUAUUGGCUCUCUCAGUCGCUUCCCGGGAAACCAAAGCUUUUGGGCUCCGGGGGAAGUAAUGGUUGCAAAGCUGAAACUUAAAGGAAUUGACGGAAAGGGCACCACCAGGAGUGGAGCCUGCGGCUUAAUUUGACUCAACACGGGGAAACUUACCAGGUCCGAACAUAAGUGUGUAAGACAGAUUGAUAGCUCUUUCUCGAAUCUAUGGGUGGUGGUGCAUGGCCGUUCUUAGUUCGUGGAGUGAUUUGUCUGGUUAAUUCCGAUAACGAACGAGACUCAAAUAUAUUAAAUAGAUAUCUUCAGGAUUAUGGUGCUGAAGCUUAUGUAGCCUUCAUUCAUGUUGGCAGUAAAAUGCUUAUUGUGUUUGAAUGUGUUUAUGUAAGUGGAGCCGUACCUGUUGGUUUGUCCCAUUAUAAGGACACUAGCUUCUUAAAUGGACAAAUUGCGUCUAGCAAUAAUGAGAUUGAGCAAUAACAGGUCUGUGAUGCCCUUAGAUGUCCUGGGCUGCACGCGCGCUACAAUGAAAGUAUCAACGUGUAUUUCCUAGACCGAGAGGUCCGGGUAAACCGCUGAACCACUUUCAUGCUUGGGAUUGUGAACUGAAACUGUUCACAUGAACUUGGAAUUCCCAGUAAGUGUGAGUCAUUAACUCGCAUUGAUUACGUCCCUGCCCUUUGUACACACCGCCCGUCGCUACUACCGAUUGAAUUAUUUAGUGAGGUCUCCGGACGUGAUCACUGUGACGCCUUGCGUGUUACGGUUGUUUCGCAAAAGUUGACCGAACUUGAUUAUUUAGAAGAAAAGUGUAAAAGUCGUGUAAUCAAGCUG